UACGUAGGUGGCAAGCGUUAUCCGGAUUUAUUGGGCGUAAAGAGUGCGCAGGCGGUUUGCCAAGUCUAAGAUCAAAGUCCGAAGCUCAACUUCGGUUCGUUUUAGAAACUAGCAGGCUCGAGUGUGGUAGAGGCAAGUGGAAUUUCUAGUGUAGCGGUAGAAUGCGUAGAUAUUAGAAGGAACACCAGUGGCGAAGGCGACUUGCUGGGCCAUCACUGACGCUCAUGCACGAAAGCGUGGGGAGCAAAUAGG
This 252-nucleotide ribosomal RNA is filed under the name uncultured bacterium. Its description in RNAcentral is "partial 16S ribosomal RNA". It matches the Rfam family "Bacterial small subunit ribosomal RNA", at positions 524 to 776 of the family's 1533-position model. The record is from RNAcentral.